RNAcentral lists this ribosomal RNA (494 nucleotides) under uncultured bacterium. Its description in RNAcentral is "partial 16S ribosomal RNA". It matches the Rfam family "Bacterial small subunit ribosomal RNA", at positions 28 to 507 of the family's 1533-position model. The record is from RNAcentral.
GACGAACGCUGGCGGCGCGCUUAACACAUGCAAGUCGAACGGAAAGGCCUGCUUUCCCUUGUGGAUUGCGGGUACUCGAGUGGCGAACGGGUGAGUAACACGUGAGUGAUCUGCCCCCAACUUGGGUAUAAGCCUGGGAAACUGGGUCUAAUUCCCGAUAGGACUGCAGGGUGGUGCCUGUGGUGGAAAACGAUUUUCUAGUGGUUGGGGAUGAGCUCGCGGCCUAUCAGCUUGUUGGUGGGGUAAUGGCCUACCAAGGCGGCGACGGGUAGCCGGCCUGGGAGGGUGGACGGACACAUUGGGACUGAGAUACGGCCCAGACUCCUACGGGAGGCAGCAGGGGGGAAUAUUGCACACUGGGCGGAAGCCUGAUGCAGCGACGCCGCGUGGGGGAUGACGGCCUUCGGGUUGUAAACUCCUUUCGACCGCGAGGAAGCCGCCUGGUUGGAAGGGUGGUGACGGUAGUGGUAGAAGAAGCACCGGCUAACUACGUG